GAGUAACACGUGGGUAACCUGCCCAAGAGACUGGGAUAACACCUGGAAACAGAUGCUAAUACCGGAUAACAACACUAGACGCAUGUCUAGAGUUUGAAAGAUGGUUCUGCUAUCACUCUUGGAUGGACCUGCGGUGCAUUAGCUAGUUGGUAAGGUAACGGCUUACCAAGGCAAUGAUGCAUAGCCGAGUUGAGAGACUGAUCGGCCACAUUGGGACUGAGACACGGCCCAAACUCCUACGGGAGGCAGCAGUAGGGAAUCUUCCACAAUGGACGAAAGUCUGAUGGAGCAACGCCGCGUGAGUGAAGAAGGGUUUCGGCUCGUAAAGCUCUGUUGGUAGUGAAGAAAGAUAGAGGUAGUAACUGGCCUUUAUUUGACGGUAAUUACUUAGAAAGUCACGGCUAACUACGUGCCAGCAGCCGCGGUAAUACGUAGGUGGCAAGCGUUGUCCGGAUUUAUUGGGCGUAAAGCGAGCGCAGGCGGUUCAAUAAGUCUGAUGUGAAAGCCUUCGGCUCAACCGGAGAAUUGCAUCAGAAACUGUUGAACUUGAGUGCAGAAGAGGAGAGUGGAACUCCAUGUGUAGCGGUGGAAUGCGUAGAUAUAUGGAAGAACACCAGUGGCGAAGGCGGCUCUCUGGUCUGCAACUGACGCUGAGGCUCGAGAGCAUGGGUAGCGAACAGGAUUAGAUACCCUGGUAGUCCAUGCCGUAAACGGU
This 715-nucleotide ribosomal RNA is filed under the name uncultured bacterium. RNAcentral's name for it is "bacterial SSU rRNA". It matches the Rfam family "Bacterial small subunit ribosomal RNA", at positions 108 to 810 of the family's 1533-position model. The record is from RNAcentral.